Molecule: ribosomal RNA, 413 nt
Filed under: Bacillus pumilus
Lineage: Bacteria; Bacillati; Bacillota; Bacilli; Caryophanales; Bacillaceae
Description: bacterial SSU rRNA
Rfam family: Bacterial small subunit ribosomal RNA
Source: RNAcentral
ACCUUACCAGGUCUUGACAUCCUCUGACAACCCUAGAGAUAGGGCUUUCCCUUCGGGGACAGAGUGACAGGUGGUGCAUGGUUGUCGUCAGCUCGUGUCGUGAGAUGUUGGGUUAAGUCCCGCAACGAGCGCAACCCUUGAUCUUAGUUGCCAGCAUUUAGUUGGGCACUCUAAGGUGACUGCCGGUGACAAACCGGAGGAAGGUGGGGAUGACGUCAAAUCAUCAUGCCCCUUAUGACCUGGGCUACACACGUGCUACAAUGGACAGAACAAAGGGCUGCGAGACCGCAAGGUUUAGCCAAUCCCAUAAAUCUGUUCUCAGUUCGGAUCGCAGUCUGCAACUCGACUGCGUGAAGCUGGAAUCGCUAGUAAUCGCGGAUCAGCAUGCCGCGGUGAAUACGUUCCCGGGCCUG